GAUGAACGCUGGCGGCGUGCCUAAUACAUGCAAGUCGAGCGAACGGGCGAGAAGCUUGCUUCUCUGGUGUUAGCGGCGGACGGGUGAGUAACACGUGGAUAACCUACCUAUAAGACUGGGAUAACUUCGGGAAACCGGAGCUAAUACCGGAUAAUAUUUUGAACCGCAUGGUUCAAAAGUGAAAGACGGUCUUGCUGUCACUUAUAGAUGGAUCCGCGCUGCAUUAGCUAGUUGGUAAGGUAACGGCUUACCAAGGCAACGAUGCAUAGCCGACCUGAGAGGGUGAUCGGCCACACUGGAACUGAGACACGGUCCAGACUCCUACGGGAGGCAGCAGUAGGGAAUCUUCCGCAAUGGGCGAAAGCCUGACGGAGCAACGCCGCGUGAGUGAUGAAGGUCUUCGGAUCGUAAAACUCUGUUAUUAGGGAAGAACAUAUGUGUAAGUAACUGUGCACAUCUUGACGGUACCUAAUCAGAAAGCCACGGCUAACUACGUG
RNAcentral lists this ribosomal RNA (497 nucleotides) under uncultured bacterium. RNAcentral describes it as "partial 16S ribosomal RNA". It matches the Rfam family "Bacterial small subunit ribosomal RNA", at positions 28 to 507 of the family's 1533-position model. The record is from RNAcentral.